Molecule: ribosomal RNA, 505 nt
Filed under: [Mycoplasma] phocae
Lineage: Bacteria; Bacillati; Mycoplasmatota; Mycoplasmoidales; Metamycoplasmataceae
Description: bacterial LSU rRNA
Rfam family: Bacterial large subunit ribosomal RNA
Source: RNAcentral
UAUUAAACAAGAUAAGAGUUUUUGGUGGAUGCCUUGGGUCUGGAAGUCUAAGAAGGACGUGAUUACCUGCGAUAAGCCUCGGUUAGCUGGAAAUAAGCUGUUAUCCGGGGAUUUCCGAAUGGGGAAACCCAAUUGAGUUAAUCCUCAAUUAUCAUUUCGAUGAAUCCAUAGUCGAAUGAAGAGACACGCUGUGAAUUGAAACAUCUCAGUAGCAGCAGGAAAAGAAAAUAAAGAAUGAUUCCCUUAGUAGUGGCGAGCGAACGGGGAAAAGCCCAAACCAACAUUUGAUGUUGGGGUUGUAGGACUACUUACACGAAGUUAGAAAAAACUUAAACAUAGCAGAAUAAGUUGGAAUGCUUAAACAUAGAGGGUGAAAUUCCCGUAAGCGAAAUGAAUAAGUCUUCAAGUAGUAUCCUGAGUAGGGCGGGGCACGUGAAACCCUGUCUGAACCCGCCGGGACCACCCGGUAAGGCUAAAUACUAACCAGACACCGAUAGUGAACUAG